Trifolium pratense (red clover) is the source of this 660-nucleotide long non-coding RNA. RefSeq lists it as uncharacterized. NCBI's taxonomy places the organism in Eukaryota, Viridiplantae, Streptophyta, Magnoliopsida, Fabales, Fabaceae. The transcript has 2 exons. The record is from RefSeq and is a predicted model, not a curated record.
AUAAUGAGUUCUCAUGAUUGGCAAGAUUUAUAUACCUCCUUCUUAAGUGUGUUAAAAGGACAAAUGUAACACAUGAAUGUCACUAAGAGACGUUUAAUAGUGAUUCUAAUUAUAUUUAGGAAGUAUUUUUUCACAUUUUUAAGUUUUAAACACUAUUAAUUUGAUGUAAAGACAACCCGAGCUUUAUAUGUUUUAAAAUGAUCAAAUAAUUUUCUAUUUCUUCCAUACAAAGGGAUAAAAAUAUGGCUAAAGCUAUGAAGUUUAUUUAUGCUAUAAUCAUUUUUAUUUCCAUAUUUAUUAUUGCAACGAAUGUUCAUGCUUUUAAUGAAUGUAGUGAAGACGAUGAUUGUCCAAAAGCUAUGUGCUUUAAAGGUUAUGUUGCAAAGUGUAUUAAUAACAGCAGAUGUGCAUGUGUUGAUGAAGAUGAUGAUUUACCCUAAUUCUAUUCAAUGAGUAAUCGUUUAGUUAUUGUCUAAGAUCCAAUAAUUAUAUAUAUAUUUUUUUAUAUUUUCUGUAAUAAUUUUAAGGACCUUCCAAUAGAGAUUUUGUACUAUAUAUAAAAUGAUGGUAAUGAAAUAAAAUAAAACAAUAAAGAAUAUUACUUAGAUUAUCUCCUCUAUCUUAAUUUUGGAGGUAUUUUUGUGACCUUCGUUCAAGACA